CUCAUGAUAAACUCUCAUAUGGAAAUGAUGAAUAGUUGCUCUACCAUGGCUAGUUCUUAAAAUUGAAUUCUCUCUGAAGUUUAGGCAUGACCGUUAUGAAGUAAGAUUUGCUCUAAACCUGAACUUGUGGGAAGAGUACUUGAUCUAAAGUCUAAGUUGUUAACGGAUAUGAUAUGGGAAGGUUGAGCUGCUGUUUAUCUGUUCCAAGAGAUGCUAGAAUUCUGGAGAAUUUUAUCUUUGAAAAAUCUUUAAAAUAUCACAUGAUGAGUUCCUCUAUGAUGAGAGUUUAAAAUCCUACCACAGCCAUAUAUACAUGCUUAUUAGACUUUGAGCCACACAUUUACUUUUUAGUGCUUAUGAGCAUUGAGUGUGGUCAAGCUGUGUAGACCCUUAGGAGCUUGUCAUGUGGUGAAAAUCAUGAUUCACUUGCAUGUUCACUCGUAUAUGCUGCUUCUACUCCAGAAGUACGCAUCCACAUACAUCCACUCAUUGCCAUCUCCAGAUUCACCCAAAAUUAUUCUACUCCUAAUCUGGGAGAGAAUAGCCAAAAACAUUUUCCUAUCCCUGUUAUUCCCUGUGAAAUAAAUGCUCUAGAUAUUUUGGUUACUACCACUUGCUACAUUAUUUCAGGAGAUGAGUGUUCUAAAAGAAGAGAAAUAAAAAUAAAGAGAAAAAAAUAUAUACGAAGAAAUAAAAAGGGGCAAGUGCCCGGAACCUCGAAGAAAAGAAAAAGUGAGACGAGAGGUAAAAAUGGACAAGUGUCCGACAGUAGAAUUAGGGGUACAACAUACCCACCUGAGAGGAAAGAAAAAGAAAAUAUAGAGCAUCUCAUUCUCCCCAAAAAGCUUCAAAGUGCAACAAAGGUAUGUAUCCCCUUAAAAGAGCAAAAGUAGAAUUAGACUUUCACCAUUAUUAUCACCAUCAUCACCAUACACCAUUCAUUCGCCACACAUGCACAUCUUGAUUUGACUUAUUGAAUUGUUUCUCUGGAUCCAUGGUUUCACUAUGCAAUAAAUGUCUUGUAAGUAUGUAUUAGCUGUCUCCCACCUAUGACCUCCAGAUAUCAAAACGUUAUUAGAGUAGGGUGAGAGAGAAGGCAAUAUCACUAUGCCUCAUACCACAAAUACUACAUACUUUGAGAGAAGGCAUAUAUCAUCACUGCCUUGGUGAGGAUCCAAAAAUACCACAAAAGAGAGAUUUGAGAGAAUCAUAUAAGGAAUCUCUGAGUUUUAUUUGAAAAUCUGCAAAAACUCCAGAGCUAUAGCUGAUCAAGAAUAAGAGACAUGACGCUUGACUUGACCGUUCUAUCUUUUAACUGCUCAAGACACAAGUGACGGUUACAAGCCCCAUGGUGAAAAGUAAAAUGAGUAAGUUUAUGUCUUAACAGAUUAUUCUAACUCAGAGAUGAGAUCUUGCUUGAACGCAUAUGUACCUUUAAGGCAUGAAACCACUGCAGAAACUCUUGAGUCCAUCCUUGCUCAGGGACGAGCAAGAGGUAAGCUUGGGGGAGUUGUUGACGGUCCUUAAGUACCAAAUAUAAUCAUCAAAUAAAUAAAGAAAAGGAUCCAAAUGCAACCAACACCUAGACUUAGGGUUUUAUCUCACAGAAUUCCACGAGUUUUGGUGUUUGUCUAUUUCUGCAGGGGGUUAUCAGGAAAUACGGAAGAAAGGCUCACAUGUCGGGAUUACAUAGAGAUAUCAACGCACCGCGCAAUUUUCUACCAUCUAGAAGACUCCAGAAGCCACGGGAAGGAAGCGGAGGCCGAACGGGCCCAGAGGCAGGGUGCCCGCCCUCCUUCCUUGGCCGCCUGCCCUGACUUGGAGUCCAAACAGGACUCUCUUCGGGGAUUACUCUCCACCGACCUAAAGGAUCAAGGAUAACCGUCAAAUCAAUGUCGGUUUGAUCCGACGGCCUUGGUUCACUUGAGGGGACUAUAACACCAGACCCCCUGGCCCCUGGAGGAGACAAGUUUUUCAUAGAGUUGAGAGGAGCCCUCGAAGGAAUACCUCUCCUCUAAAUAAAAUUUAUUUUAGGCUUAGCAUCGAAUGUUAGUAGAAUUAGAUCUUCUAGUUUCUACUAGAUUGAGAGAGAUAGAGUGGAGGUGUAGAUCGGAGGAAGGCCGGCCUGUCGGUGUCUACUCCGAGGUUGUACCUGCGGGACCAAGUCUUCUAACCCGAGGCUUGCUCCUAAGAUUCUUCAGUAAUUCGACUUCUAAUUCUAGUAAGAUCUUGUUUUAUUGUUCUUUGGUUUAUGAGUUUACUUUAAUCCUCUUCCGGUUGAGUAUUAGAGUAAUCAUUGCUAGCGUAAACGUGGUGUUUAGGCUAGGGUACUCAUAGAUAUCCCCUGACUAGCUGGACCGUGGUAGUUGCGAGGAACGUGACAUUUCCGAGUUACCUUUGUAUCCCACAUCUCGUUAGCAGGAAGGGUAGGGUUUAUAGGUGCGGGUCGAUCAUCCUUUGUGGUGUCUAGAUUCCGUAAGCUUCCCCAAUAGAACAGUAGAUCAUCCUUACCAAUGUUAGAAUGAGACUACGGUUGCAGUCUUCUCUAUACAUCACUCACAUCGAGAAACAUUCUUUGUAGCCUAAAGGGAUAGUAGCAAUAGAUUUGGUUAGUCAGAUGCACCCUUUCUCCCAGUGGUAAAAAUAUAAAUACAAUACUCUGGAAAACCUCUCAGGUGAAAUGCUGGCCGAUAUCCGUGCGCUUGCAGAUCAUUUCCUUAUUGCGUUACCAAAUAUCAACAAUGACACAUGCCCUCAACUUACCCUCUAAGAUCUGAUUCACCCGCUCAGUCUGACCGGAGGUUUGAGGAUGGUAGGCUGAACUGCAAUCCAACUUUGUACCAAGGAGUGAAUGCAAAUGUUCUCAAAAGCUGGCAGUGAACUGAGGACCUCUAUCAGAAAUAAUAGUGCGAGGCAUUCCGUGCAAUUUCAUGAUCUUAGAGAAGUACAACUCAGUAUAGUCGGAUGGUCGGUAUGUAGAAUGUACGGGAAUGAAAUGAGCUGACUUGGUCAAUCGAUCAACAAUCACCCAUAUGGAAUUGUGUCCUUUUUGAGUAGGGGGAAGCCCAACAAUGAAAUCCAUGCUGAUUUCUUCCCAUUUCCAACCUGAAAUCGACAAAGGUUGCAACAAUCCUGCAGGUUUAAGGUGAACUGUCUUUACCCUGCACCAAGUAUCACACCUAGCAACAUAAGUUCCUAUCUCUUUCUUCAUCUUGGUCUACCAGAAACGAGGUUUCAAGUCUUGGUACAUUUUACUACUACCCGGAUGGAUGGACAACUUAGAAGAAUGAGCUUGAUCUAAGAUUUUGUUGCGUAGGACACGGUCUUUGGGUACAACAAGUCGAUCAUCAAACCACAGUACGCCUUUCUCAUCUACCCUGAAAUGCUUGGUGUCUUGCUCGUUCAUUUUUCUCUUGAUAUGGAAGAUACCCGGGUCAGUCUUUUGGAGUUCUAUAAUUUGGCUCUCUAAAGAACAACUGACUACAAUGUUGUGCAGGACCACAGGGUGCAAUAAAUUGAAACCUUCCUCUAGGAGAGGUCCAACAUGUUGUUUCCGGCUAAGAGCAUCGGCUACCACAUUGGCUUUGUCGGGAUGAUAGUGCACUUCAAGAUUAUAGUCCUUUAUCAAUUCCAACCACCUUCUUUGUCUCAUGUUUAACUCAGGCUAGGUGAAGAUAUAUUUGAGGCUCUUAUGGUCAGUAUAAACGUGACACAGAUUACCCAAUAGAUAAUGCCUCCAGAGUUUCAAUGCAUGCACAACUGCUGCUAACUCUAGAUCAUGAGUCGUGUAGUUAGCUUCGUGCUUCCUCAGCUGUCGACAGGCAUAGGCAAUGACUCGGCCUUCUUGCAUAAGUACGCAGCCCAACUCGGUGCCGGAUGCAUCACAAAAGACAUCAAAUGGAUUUUCAAUGUCAGGUUGUGCCAAAACAGGAGCAGUGGUUAGCAGGUGGCGUAAAGCAGUAAAACCGACUUCACACUCCUGAGACCACACAAAUUUCACAUCUUUUUGCAGCAGCUUGGUCAUAGGCUUGGCUUUUGGAGAAGUAUGGAAUGAAGCGACGAUAAUAUCCCACUAGACCGAGAAAACUCCGAACCUCAUGCACCGAAGUCGGGGCCUUCUAGUCUAGAACCUCCUGUACCUUUGACGGGUCAACAUAAAUACCCUCCUCGGAUAAAAUAUGGCCUAGAAAAGGCACUUUCUUCAGCCAAAACUCACACUUGCUGAACUUGGCAUAGAGCUGAUGUUCUCGCAAUCUAGUGAGUACAAUACGUAGGUGCUUCUCAUGGUCUUGGGUAUAUUUAGAAUACACCAAUAUGUCAUAGAUGAACACCACCACAAACUUAUCCAGUUCACGCAUGAACACCGAAUUCAUUAGGUACAUGAAAUGAGUAGGGGCAUUAGUCAGACCAAAGGACAUGACUAGAUACUCAUACAACCCAUAACUAGUAGAGAAAGCCGUUUUAGGGAUGUCUUCGGGUCGGAUCUUGAUUUGAUGAUACUCGGACCUCAGAUCAAUCUUCGAGAAUACCUUAGCCUUAGCUAACUGAUCAAACAGAAUAUCAAUGCGAGGCUGGGGAUACUUGUUUUUGAUGGUCACGGCAUUCAGCAGACGAUAGUCUACACACAUACGUAGAGACUUGUCCUUCUUCUUGACAAAGAGAGCCGGACAACCCCAUGAAGAAGAACUAGGCCGAAUGAGACCUUUCUCCAGGAGUUCUUGCAAUUGCUUCUUUCACUCUGCUAAUUCAUUGGGUGGCAUUCGAUAUGGCCUUCUAGAGAUAGGUGCGGUACCUGGAAUUAGAUCAAUUUUAACCUCUAUGUCUCUGUCCGGAGGCAAACCGGGCAGAUCCUCUAGAAAGACAUCCGGAAACUCACACACUACAGGAAUCUCUACCACAGUGAGUGGUCUGAUAGCAUUUGCAGCGUGACAGAUGUCAUCAUUUUUGGGAAGUUGGACUAAGAAAGCUUCUUUACUAUCAGGCUCCCUCAACAUAACUGCCCUCGUUGAGGUAUCUAUUAACACCCCAUUAUUACUCAUCCAAUUCAUUCCCAAGAUAACAUCUAUGCCCAAGCCCAGCAAAAUUACAAGAUUUGCUGAAUAGCUACGACCUUCAAUAGCAAUAUGCACAUCCUUCACAAGUUGGUUUGUGGAAACCUGAUUCCCAGUAGCACUAAUGCAAAAUUUGCCAUUGUAAAGAUCAACUACAUGCUGCCCAUGCUUAGAUGCGAAUGCUUGGCUCAUAAAUGAAUGCGAAGCUCUAGAAUCAAACAACACAAUUGCGGGGUGCUGAUUUACAAGAAACAUACCAGUCGUAACCACUUCUCCUGCAGGGAUUUCUUCAAUGGUGGUGUAGUGCAUGUUGGGUAUUCUUAACAUCAUUACCAAAAGUAGACUAAGUUCUCUAAAUCUAGUAACGGUGCCAAAAAUGCCAAACCUAUCCCUCACACCACUUAAGCCAAGUUGUCAUCCCCAGCAUGACAUGAGAGACGCGGUAUUGAAAUAUGCAGUUGCUCUUCUAAAUAAAUAAUGAAUGGGAUCAUCAAUAUUGAUUACAUAAUAGAAUAUGAGAUUGAGUAUCUAUCGUAGCAUGUAUAAUUGAGAACAUUUAUCUAACUCUUUCAUACAGGGAUAAGUGUCACAUAAAGGAUAUAUGAAGUAAUGAAUAGUGACAAAGAUAAUUAAUCUGAUCAGCCACAUAUAAAUAUGAUAAGCACCUCAAUUAGAUACUCUAGAAAGUCAUUAGCAUGGAAUUAGAACGAACUACAAAAAUAUUUCCUAAGUUAUUCUCAACUAUAUAGUCUAGCAUUAUCAUAGUUAGUGCAAGCAUACUUAGCAAUCAUUGCGAGACAAGACUACGCCCAUGCAUAGUGAUAUUAGCAAGGUAAAUGAGAAACAUAGCAAUCAUUCCCCUGUAAUAAUAUUGCUCUGCCAGUCCAAUACACGAGAGGGGGACUAUAUAAGAAUCAAUGAAGCUGUCACUAUCAUGAACUACCCCACGAUCUGGCAUAUUGGGUACAAUCGUAAAUAAAUACGGUAUAAGCACCACGCCUAUACAAUAUCUAUCAUUUACCCAUGGAUCCGCUGGAUAAACGCUAUACGAUCCUAAGCAUGUAUAUAGAUCCAAUCUAACUAAGCCAAGUACAUAACUAUGAUAAACUAAGAACAAUAUAAUCUUGAAUAUAAGCAAGUAGAGCAAAGUCAUAAGCAAUAUAUUGAAGUAGAACAAAGUCAUAUUCAUAAUAUUGAAGAACAAAGAUAAUUAGAAGAACAAUUAGAAGCACAAUUAGAGAAUUACCAAGAAUCCUCUUGACAGAUCCGGAAACCAAUCGAAGAUUGACUCCUUCUAGUUCUAAUCCUAUGUAGCUAUGCUAACCUAGAUGUCUAAUUGAUGUAGUGGCUCUAGUCUUGAUCAGAGGCUUCUUCUCCCUUGAAGAACAAUGAAUUAGGGUUGAGAGGCUCUCUCCUCCAGGGGCCAGGGGGUCUGGUUUUAUAGUCCCUUCAAGUGAAUAUGGGCCGUUGGAUCAAACCGACAUUGAUUGAAUGGUUAUCCUUGAUCCUUUAGGUCGGUGGAGAUCUCCCACGAAGCAGAGUCCUGAUUGGACUCUCAGAGAGGGCGGGUGCCUAGGGUAGGAGGGGGGGCGCCCUGCCUCUGGCCCCGUUUCGCCUCCGCUUCGGUCUCGUGGCUUCUGGAGUCUUCUAGAUGUAAGAUAAUUGCGCGGCACGUUAAUAUCUCUAUGUAAUCCCGACAUGUGGGCCUUUCUUCCGUAUUUCCUGAUAACCCCCUGCAGAAAUAGAUAAACACCAAAACUCGUGGAAUUCUGUCACAUAAAACCCUAAGUCUAGAUGUUGAUUUUAUUUGGAUCCUUUUAUUUAUUUAUUUGAUAAUUAAAAUUGAUACUUAAGGACCGUCAACAAACACCCCCAAGCUUACCUCUUGCUCGUCCCUGAGCAAGGAUAGAUUAGAAGUUGCUGCAAUACUUUUUUUAAAAAAAUUGACGGUACACAUGCUUUUAAAUAAGAUCUCAUCUCUGAGUUAGAGUAAACUGUCAAGACUUAAAACUUACUUACUUUACCUUCACCAUAGGACUUGUAACCGUCACUUCUAUCUUGACUGGUUAAAAGAUAGAACAGUCUAGUCAAGAGCCAUGUCUCUUAUUCUUGAUCAGCUAUAGCUCUCGUGUCUUUGCAGAUUUUCAAAUAAAACUCAGAGAUUCCUUGUAUGAUUCUCUCAGAUCUCUCUUUUGUGGUAUUUCUGGAUCCUUACCAAGGCAGUGAUGGUAUAUGCCUUCUCUCAAAAAGUAUGUGGUAUUUAUGGUAUAAAGCAUAAUGACAUUGCCCUUCUCUCUCACCCUACUCAAUUAAGGCUUUAAUAUCUGGAGCUCAUAGGUGGGAGAUAAAAUAUACAUACUUACAAGCCAUUUAUUGUAUAGUCAAACCAUGGAUCCAAAGAAACAAAUCAAUAAGUCAAAUCAAGAUGUGCAUGUGUGGUGAAUGAAUGGUGUAUGGUGAUGAUGGUGAUAACAAUGGUGGAAGUCUAAUUCUACUUUUGCUCUUUUUAGGGGAUACAUACCUUCCUUGCUUUUUGAAACUUUGUGAGGAGAAUGAGAUGCUCUUCUUUUUCUCUCAGGUGGGUAUCUUGUACCCCUAAUUCUACUGUCGGACACUUAUCCAUUUUUACCUCUCAUCUCACUUUUUCUAUUCUUUCGAGGUUCCGGGCACUUGCCCCUUUUUAUUUCCUCGUAUCUUUUUUCCUUUUUUUAGAGCACUCAUCUCUUGAGAUAAUAUAGCAAGUGGUAGUAACAAGAUAACUUGAGCAUUUAUUUCACAGGGAAAAACAGAAAUAUUUUUGGCUAUUCUCUCCCGGAUUAGGAGUAGAAUAUUUUUAGGUGGUUCUGGAGAUGAAAAUGGGUAGAUAUAUGUGGAUGGUACUUCGGAGUAGAAGUAGCAUAUAUAAGUGAACGUGCAAGUGAAUCUUGAUUUAACCAUAUGACAAGCUCCUAAGGGUCUACACAGCUUGACCACACUCAAUGCUCAUAAGUAGUAAAUAGUAAAUGUGUGGCUCAAAGUCUAGCAAGCAUGUAUAUAUGACUGUGGUAGAAAUUUAAAACUCUCAUCAUACAGGAACUCAUCAUGCAAUAUUUUAAAGAUUUUCAAAGAUAAAAUUCUCCAGAAUUCUAGCAUCUCUAGGAACAGAUAAACAGCAGCUCAACCUUCCCAUAUCGUAUCCGUUAACAACUUAGACUUCAGAUCAAGUUUUCAUCCCACAAGUUUAGGUCUAUAGCAAGCUUUAAAUUAUAACAGUUAUGUCCAAACUUGAGAGAGAACUUCAAAUGUGCAAAUUAGGCAGAGCAACUAUGCAUCAUAUCCAUGCUAGAGUUUUAUUAUUAAGAUACAGAUUAGCAUAGCCACUUUAUUUAUUUAUUAAACACACUAAGCAAAAGACAUAUAUAUAUAAGCAUAAAAUCUUUAUUUGAUUUUUCCUGGUUUAUGUAUAUUUAUAUUUUAAUAUAGUAUAAGUAUAAAGAUAGAUAGAUAGAAAUACUUAUCGCUAUAAAUGGGGGUGCUCUCCCCCAAGCUGAAUUUUGACGUAAUUUCUCUCGAUAUAGCUAGCAGGUGGCAGAGGUGUAUUUGAAAGUCAGCAGCAUUCUGACAGCGAUUAGAAUGUCCUCCGUCUGCUAGUCUUCUUGAUUCUUAAAUUCUGUGGAGCUCAAAUAGACAACAAAGCUUGUGGAACUGAUUAAGUGUUAGCAUAAAUAUCUAGCCUUUAUCAUGUUGAGACUCCUUAAUAAUUAUUACUCCCUGUUUUUAUAUUUUUAUUUUAUAAAGCAGAAAUGAAAUUUUUAUUUCAUUUUUAUGCCACCACAGUGAAUGUACUUAUGUGUUUUAUGCCACUCGUAUACUCAUGGGCUUACUGUUUUUCACAUUCUUAUUUUCACUACAAGAAAUUCCCUGAUACAUAACAGAUUACUUUCAUCAUAGACAAGAAAAAAUGCAUCACAGAUUACUCAUAAUGACGAUCACCCAAGACGUCAUGUAUCCCGCAUCAUACAUUUGUUAGAGCGAAAUAGAGCGUCACGAAUUGGUUUUUUCAUUCGUCAUAGAUGAACUGGUCACAACAAUAGCAAAAGGCAAUAGUGAUGAAAUAAAUCGUCACAGAUUGACAUUUGAGUUCAUCAUGGAUUAGUUGUCCAUCAUCUAUUGUACCCAGCCCAUAUCCAAGCCCAGAUCCAAACCACAGUGACGAAAAAGAACAUCACUUAAGUGUGAAAUCAUCACUACAUUAACAUGCAACACAUCUCAGAAUACACCAAUCAUACAAACAAACAUUGAUUCUUUUAUUUCUUGGCAUGUCCACUAUUGUCACAUGCAGUUUGAGGAUAAUCAAUUCACAGUCAAACUAACAAGUACAUAAAACUAAGAUUUCAGCUCUAGGGAGUCUACCAUAAACAAACAUACAAACUAGAUUUCAUCUCUAAGAAUUCAAUUGGCUUGUUUUCCAUAUGAUAUGCUACCAAGCAUCUCCAGGAACUACCUGAAAAUCAAUAUGAAUAUAAAAUAUGUUAGUUCUGAGCAAAGAUUCUAAAAACAAAUGCUAUUUAUUUAUCAGGAAACAAUCAGAGUGGAUUGCAAGCUCUGUACUAACAAAUGCAACUCUAUCCUAGGCCUUUUGCGCUUGAAAUAAUUCCGGCAUACAUAACUAGCAUAGAAUGCAAGUUGGACAAUUGUACAAAUCUUUGUAUGCACAAUCUAAUUUUAAACCUAUGUAAUAAUUCAAGCUGGACAACACCACAAAUACAACUGAGGCAAAUAAAAAUGCUAGUUUGAUGAAAUAAAGAGGUACAUAGUUAGGCGUGAUCCAGUUUCUAUGAACAUGUAUAUACCUUUGUUUAUUUGUCAAUCUUUAGUAACAUCACUAAAAAGGUAUCACUUACUUACAUAUUUUAUAUACACAUUUCAUCAACCUGAAGUAACAUCGCUACUUUUGCCACUGAUCCCAAGCCUCGGUUGGCAAAGGAACAGACUUAAGUUCAUAAGAACCGAUGUUCUACUGUCCAAGAGCAAAACUAAUAUUUUCUUUCUAUCAGCUCAGCCCUACAGAUAAUACUACCACCUUAUUUCAUUGUUUGUCAAUGAUAACCGAACAGAUACAUGCCACCAGUAUACUAGCAGCUUGAGAAGAUACAGGAAGAAAGUGACGAGCCUGGCAGUAUGACUUACGCCUCAAAUCAGAUCAAUACCACAUAUUGCUAUCUAGAUCCAUAUAAGUGUUAAAUAAGUCUACAGGGAGAAGAGGCUCACCAGAUAUCUGACAUCUUCACCAAAAUUUUUGUCAAAUUUGAUGCCAGCAUCUUGCGUACAAGGUAGGAGCAAAUCACAAAACUGGAAAUCAAAAUUAAAAAAAUCCUGAACACCAAGUUACUAGCGGCAACAAAACAGUGUUGCCGAGAGUAGGGAGUAAAUAUGACGCCUGCGCUAUGUAGGUCUUAAUCUCAUAAUAAAUUCCAUCCUACUCGACCUCAUCUUGCCCUGUGGAAUCAAUUUCAAUCUCCUCGAUCUAGAGCAAGACAGAUCCCAUAAAUCCCCAUCCUACUCUACUCAGAUCCCAUAAAUCCCCAUCCUACUCUACUUCAACAAAACAUGCAACUAGGGUUAGGGCCAUCAUAGGCAUCGUUAGGGUUACCCAUGAGCACACGGAGCACCAUGACCGAGGGGACUUGAGAUGGCUGGGAUAUGUGGCACACACAUAGAUCCUGCCAUCGUCAUCGCCCGUGUGUUGGGAUCUUGUUGUCGCCGCCACCCGGGCUGGGAUCUCGCCACCACCGGCGCCCACGCUCGAUUCAAGCUGGCCACACCCGGAUCUAGCGCCUGCGCUUCGAUCUCGCAGCCGGGGCCACCCCAUUCCGGAAAACACGGCCCUACCACAGGGAGCUGCGGGGAGGAGCACAGGCCUGCGCAGGGGAGGAGGUUGCGGAAGGAGCCGCCGCUGGCGCUUCCGGAGCACGAUUGGUAUUUGGUAGAAGAAGGCUGAGAGAGAGAUAGAUGUGUUGGGCUUUCAGGGAGAUAUGCCGAGCGUCCGAGCGAACGAGUGAUGGAUGUCGGCGUUUCUAUUUUGUUUUUUCUUUCUCUAUAUUUUUUUAUUUUUUUAAUAAAGAUGGGUGAUGGGUUGAUUUUGUAUUUAAUUAUUUAUUAUUUUCUUUUUUAUUUAUUUAUAAUUUUUCUAUGAAACAACCAAAAGAACAUGCGUGCAUCUAUUUCUUUUUUUUACGGGAAACACCACGUUCAAAAUAUUUAUAAACCUUUCCACAUUUUAUGAAUAAUUUCUAUGCAUAAAUUAAUUAUAUAAAGAAAAAAAACUUUUUUAGAACCCUAUUUGAGUUCAGUCUUUAAAGUAGCACAGGAGAAUAUGAUCUGUGACAUCUAGCCGUGACGAUAGCUAUAUCAGUCGUCAUAGCUGUGUCACCUUGGAAAUGAAUCGUCAUAGAUAUUAUAAUUCUAUGAUGCUUUCUUAGAACGUCACCACUAAACCGUCAUGUAAAGCCUAAUUUUUUGUAGUGUUUUUUUUAAGAUAGUAUGAACAUGAUUAACUAAGCAAACUAAAAUAAUUGAAAGGGAAAGGAUAACUACCAAGUUUACCUCUUGGCAAGGCGUUCGGUGUUUUUAAGUACUCCGAACGGGACUCUCCAUUUUCUUAAUUGUCCUGGGAUUCGUUGGUUGGCGGAGUCGGUACUUCCGGCGGCGCCUCUUCUUCAUGUAUAGUUAUCUUCUCUUUCCAUACCUGACUCGGUGCUACGGUGUCCUCUAGAUAAUUUUGUUUAAACUCUACGUCUUCUGACCUUACAACUUCUCCUUCAUAGUCUGCCCAUCCGUCCUUGAUGAUUUGCCUCCUCUGGUUGCGGUUGCGUCGCUUUCUUACCUGCUUAGAUUCUUCAAAGAUGUAGUUAGGGUGAGUAAAAUAGCGGCGUACCUUCUCUGAGGGGAAGUGCAUAUGGACUUCUCCGGUUCCAAUAUAGAUGAUUGCUUUAACGGUGCUGAGGAACUGUCUUCCAAUGAUGAUGGGUGGAUCGUAUUCGUCUUCUUCCAUGUCGAUAACUUGAAAGUCUGUGUAGACAAAAUGAUCGUCUAUUUUGACUGGGACAUCAGUUAUUCUUCCUUUAACUUCUCGAAAUGUUUGAUCUGCCAUCUGGAGCUGAAUGUAUGUUGGUUUUAGGGGCAUGGUUCCGAACAAGAGCCGAUAGGUGACUGCGGCCAUUAUGUUGACGCCCGAUCCGGUGUCGCAAAACGUCUUGUAGAAGCUGUAUCCAUUUAUGGAGCAAUAGAUGCUUGGCAUUCCUGGGUCGUCCUUCUUGGUCAAAAACGGUGACUUAAGUUGGUGAUCUUGGCCUCCAUGAACUACAGUGACCAUCUUAGCUGACUCGGUCCAUACUUGCUUGUUCCUAUUCCUCCGGUUGGUCCUCUUCCUUGAUUCACGUCUGGAUUGAUUUGGAAUUUGUGCAGUCUUGUUCUUGAAGAAAAAUGUCUCCUUCCUCCCUUUGAUGUAAAAACUGAUCUUGGCAGCACUGGCGUAGAUGAUAGCUCCCGUGGUGUUCAAGAAUGGCCUCCUUAAGAUGAUGGGUGCCCUCUCAUCAUUUCCGGUCUCUACCACUACGAAGUCUGCUGGGCAUAUAAGGUACCAACUCGGACACAUAGGUUCUUCAAUAUUCCUUUUGGAAAACUUAUCGUCUGAUCUACAAACUGCAAACACAUGGUUUUUUCUAAUAAAGGAUAUGUAAAGAAUUUCACAUAGAGUACCCUGGGUAUAAUUUUGACGCUGGAGCCAAAGUCGCAGAGUGCUUCUGGGACGUCCACCAUGCCGAUGGAGAUCGGGAUGACGGGGCGUCCUGGAUCUCCUCUCUUGACCGGCAGAAGGUCAGUAGUGAAUUUAGUGACGGGGUUACUCCAAUUAUUACCUGCAUCAAACAUGUCUACAAGAUUUGCAGAUUCUAAUCAUUUUGGUUGUGAUGGUAUACUGGGGUUAGUAGCAGGAACAACAGCAGCUAUUUGAUUUAAUUGAGAUUCAAUCAUUUUAUUAAAGCUAAUUUGAUUCUUGAUAGCAGUAGAGAAAUUAUCCAUUCUAUUAUUUAUAUUUUCUAGCAUUUUAUCAUUAGAUGCCAAUUUCUUAGAUAGGUUAUCCAUUAGCUUUCCUUGAUUAGACACUAACUCUCUCAGAGGUGGAAAAUUAUUAUUAUUGUUGUAAGAAUUGUUACCUUCAUAAUUACCUCAGUAGUUAGGCCUCUGUUGAUUCCAACCUUGAUUUUGUUGAGGAUGGUUGUAGUAGUAGUAGUUGUUGUUGAUGUAGUUCACAUCCUCAAGCAUCUCAGGGCAGUGAUUGCCUGAGUGUCCAGUAUCUCCACACUCCUCACAAGUCAUGUGAGAGUCGUAGAUGUGCAUAACUUCUUUCUUGUCCCCAGCUCUAUCAUCGAGCUUCUUCAUGAGCAGGUCUAGCUUUGCAGAUAGCAUGUCUACCUCCUUGAGCUGAUGCAUACCUCCACCUCUCUUGCGUGUCUGGGUCCUCUCUUCAUUCUAGCCUUGAUUGGACGCCAUCUUCUCCACAAGAGCUGUGGCUUGUGGUGUGGUAAGUGAUAAGAAUGCUCCUCCAGCUGCAGCAUCCAUGGUCUCUCGGGCACUGUUGCCGAGCCCAUGAUAAAACGUCUGCAUCAAUAGCCAACUCUCCAUUCCAUGAUGGGGACAUUCUAUGAUGUAGUCUUGAAAGCGCUCCCAUGCUUCUGGAACAUAUUCAUCAUUUUGUUGCUAAAAACUUGUAAUCUUCCCACGGAGAGCAUUGGUCUUGCCCAUAGGAAAGAACAUAGCCAGGAAGUUUGUUGAGCAGAGUGCCCACGAAGUAUUCUUCUCCUUUGUAGCGUAGAACCAUUGCUUCGCUCUUCCUAACAGUGAGAAUGGGAAGAGGCGAAGUAGUAUAGCAUCUUUGGAAACCCCUGAUAUGGUGAAUGUGUUGCAAAUCUCCAGGAAGUGUUGUAGAUGAGCACUAGCAUCUUCGUGUGCCUUCCCACAGAACUGGUUGGAUUGCACCAUGUUAGUAAGUCCAGGCUUGAGCUUAAAGUUGCCAUCGAUCUCAGCAGCAGGACCCGUGCGGAUGUUGUCCGUAGUGGGAGCUGAGAACUCGCGGAUCGAUUUGUUCACCAUGGCUUCGAACUCUGAAGACGAGUUCCGGUGAUCUUCUUGAUUGGAUGAAGCUUCUUGCUGAAGUGUUGAUGAUCUCUUCUUGAGCUUGGCUCUAGUUCUUCUGAAUAAUGCUUCGGGAUUGUCAACAAAAUUUCCUGGAAGAUGUCUUCUUUUCAUACAUUCCCCUACAUAAGAUAAAAUAGAAAAAUAUCGGGGUAAAACUGUAUGAGAGAAUAGAUAAGCUCAAUCAUAUUAGUGAUGCGAAUGAUUGUUGACGGUCCUUAAGUAUCAAAUUUAAUUAUCAAAUAAACAAAGAAAAGGAUCCAAAUAAAAUCAACACCUAGACUUAGGGUUUUAUCUGACAGAAUUCCACGAGUUUUGGUGUUUGUCUAUUUCUGCAGGGGGUUAUGAGGAAAUAAGGAAGAAAGGCCCACAUGUCGGGAUUACAUAGAGAUAUCAACCCACCGCACAAUUUUCUACCAUCUAGAAGACUCCAGAAGCCACGGGAAGGAAGCGGAGCCCGAAAGGGGCCAGGCCUAGGGCGCCCGCCCUGAGGACCUGGGCGCCCGCCCACCUCUAGACCCCGUUCCGGACUCUCUUCACACACGACGUUCCACCGACCUAUUGGAUCCAGAAUAACAUAGUACCACCUCGCCUAUCGACCCAAAAAUGCAUAGAAGGGGAGGACUGUAAUAGAACCGACCAAAUUAUAAGAGAUUAAGCCUAAUAGUGACCAUUUGCAUAGUCGAACCAUCACGCUUAAGCCCAUAUAAUCCCGGUAGUCCAUGAAAUCUCGAAGGAUUUCAAACCACACAUCGCAUACAGCCAAGAUCGUAAUAAGUUUAGCGGCCGCCAUCCAUAAGUACAUCCAAAUUACAACAUUCAUGAAACACAUCGGAGUACUUAAGUUAUUACAAACCAAGUUCUUCAAGUAGCGGAAGCUUCAUAGUUCGAAAUUACAACACACACGAUAAGUCUGAUACAGUGCCAUAGUUUGGUCAUUCCCACAAAAGCAAAGGAAGAGACGGAGUGACCAUCGCCCUUGGUCUAGUCAUCACCCAUAGCUGGGUACAGACAGAGGAUGCAAUAACCAUAGUACAUUUGACCAUCUGCAAAACAACAUGGGAAUAGAACCCUGAGUACGAGAAGGUACUCAGCUAGACUUACCCGUCAUAAACUUAAAAUAAAGACUCAUCAAGGAUCAUGAAGGCUAUUUAGUGGGGUAGCUGACAACCAUUUUGCAAAGACCGCAAGGUUUUAUUACCCUAACCUACCAAAAUCUUUUCUUCUUUUAAUUUGCUCAAGUUGAAAGUAUCAUUACCUAUUAUCUAGGUUUGCUCCUGUGCUACUACAAGCAAGUAUGAGACUAUGAUAGUACCUCAUCAUAGCAUUUCCUAAACCAUUCAUCAUUAUAACCCAAGUGUUUCAUAGUCCUUACUACGAGGACGAAGCUCAUGUCAAGUGCUCACUAUCCAGGAGCGAUGGCGAUUCGAAUCGAUUUCUAACCAGCUGGCGAGGUAUUCCCCACACAAACCACACUCACUGAUCAAGUGAGCUACAGAUCACCAUAUUACACUAUCCAGGACCAAUUCGCGGGUUCGGCAGGCACCGCCAGUACCCGAGGACCGUUCCGGCGACCGAGGUAUCCAGGGUAUACCAAGGUUGCGCGCCGCGCCCUCGUCGUUCUCCUCAACCAUCACCAAUACAGCGCAUGGCGGCUCGAUUCCCGGCCCGGAUAGUGUUCAGGCUUCGCGGUCGGAACGACUUAUCCUUCCAGCUAAGUGUGGGGCAUGCGUUCAACAUGACAAGAGGGCCGUCAACGAUCGGUCCUUAAUCGACACAGGCAGGGGCACUACGGUCAACUACACCAUAAGACCCUACCCGGUCUCAAGUUCAAUCCCACACUUGGUUACCUAUUUCCCUCAUAGCAUUGAUAGCUAAUCAAACAGGUGUCCACCUAUAUCUCGCAGGUGACAGGAAAUCACCCGACUUCUACCGUAUUAAGCAAGCUAAGCAUAGACUCCGAGCCUAUCUACAUAGGACAAGGUAGAUAAACAGGUGGUGAUAUCAAGGAGUAAUUAUGCAUCAACGGUAUCAAGUGUGGGGCAUGCGUUCAACAUGACAAGAGGGCCGUCAACGAUCGGUCCUUAAUCGACACAGGCAGGGGCACCAUGGUCAACCCACCAUAAGACCCCGCCCGGUCUCCAAAUUCAUUCCACACUUGGUUAUUCUUUUCCCCGAGCAACCACUGCUUAAUCAAGCAGGUAUCCACCUAUAUCUCGCAGGUGACAGGGAAUCACCCGACUUCUACCGAACUAAGCAAGCUAAGCAUAGACUCCGUGCCUAUCUACAUAGGACAAGGUAGUUGAAUGAGCAGGAAUAACAAGGAGUACUCAUGCAGCAACGGUAUCAGGCAACUCCUAUCACUUAAUAUGCAAUACAGUAGAACAAGUAUAGCACUUUAUAUAAGUUAGCGAGAAUAGGGAGACUUAGAAUGCUCCGGGGCUUGCCUUUCUCAAACGUGCUGGGUCGGUGAUCCGGACACUCUUGAAAUUCCUCUCCGGGUUCCUGUGCCUCCGGAGGUUCCUGCUCCUGUAUCUCCUCGGGUUCCUCGGGUCCCACUUCGUUCUCCUGCGAGCCUGUAUGAUGCAUAUAUGCUCAUGAGUGGAGUGUGAGAUGCCCGAGUGGAUGCUUGUAAGAGAGAGUGUCAAAGGAGUCAUGUUAUGAUGCAUAGGUGAUGCACUGUGUCAUGCUUAUUACAAGGUAGUCAACAUCAUCCGGGAACAAUAACUAAAUUAAGCAUCUGUUGCAUUCUCUUCUACAGAUAUUUUUCAAAUGCAAAUAGCAACCCCCAUGAUGCUUCAAAGAUACACCAAACCCAACUUAUUCCAUUCAACCUACAUACACAACCAUUCAUAAUUUUCUUUAUUCAUUUCUAAGCUCAUUAAAAAUCAAAUGCAAUUCUGUUCAUCAAUAAAUUCCACAAAAAUUACAGGAGACUACCAGCUAAGCAUAAAGUCUACUGUAAAUUUUUCAUGAUUUUUGGAUACUUAUUUUGAGCCACAAAAAUCACAAGAUUAAUUAAUAAGGCAAGUAAAAUCACUCUACUGGGAUACAAGUGUUAAACAACAGAUUUCAUAUUUUUACAAUUUGCAUAAUAUCAUAAGAAACACCCACAAAAUUUUCCAGAUUUAUUGCAUGACCCAUUUAAUUAUUAAAAAUCAUAAAUUACUGCCAUGCAAGCAUUUAAAUUACCAUAAAUUCAUUUAUACACCAAAUAAUAUGUACCCACUUUUUCCCAGUGAGCAAACACACAUGCAAAGCCAACAAAUCAAGUUUCACAUUUUUCUGAGCCAUGUUUUAUUUACUAUGCAUUUUCCAAGUUUAACAAAAUCAUGGAUAAAAUAUAUUCACACAGAAAAGUUACUCCAACAUGACAUGCAAUUACAUCAAACUGUAGAUCUGGAAAUAUAGAGCACACCAAAAUUUAUUUCAUUCAAUUUGGAGCUGUAGAACUCAAGAUAUAGAUUUUACAAACUUUAAAUCAAUUUCUAGAAAACACUUUUUCAAGAAAACCGACGAAAAAGGCUACGCACACCCAGAUCUACACCCACCAGGGUACCCCUGCGACUGACAGUGGGUCCCCGACCCCACCAGUCAGCGAGACCGAGAGGGAGCUCACCUCCGACGAGCGGAUCUCGCCGGCGGUGAGGUCUCCGGCCACAGGGUGAGCACCAACGUGCUCCCCGCAGCAAGACGCACCCAGCGGUACCCUUGGAUCGACCAGAGGACGGUCGGAACACCUCCGGCGAGCAUGCAUGGCGGCACGGCGGCGCUGCUCGCCGUGGCCAGGCUGCUCCGGCGCAGUAGAGCGUGCGCAAACGCCUCUCCGAGCUUCCUCACCUUCCUACCGACCUAGCGCAACAGAGAACGAGCGAAAGGAGGCAGGGAAACGCUAGAUCCAUCGCGGCGGAGUACUCCGGCGAGCUCGGGGUAACUCCGGCGAGCGAUUCACGGCGCUCGACGGACUCUCACCUCGGUAGAACGUUCGCACGAGCUUACCCUAGCGACGGCGAGUGCCCUGGUGCUCUCGGCGUCGAGCUUGAGGCUCUGGUGUGGCCGGCGACGAGCGGCGGAGCUCUCUCCGGCAAUGGCGCGCGGAGGAGCGGCUGCUGCUGCGCGGUGCGAGCGGAGGAAGGAGAAGGAGGGCGCGGGGGAGACAGAAUGGAGGGAGUGGCCUGGGAGCUUACGCGGGCGUCCCGACCAGGUGGGGGGGGGGGUUGGAGGCCGGCCGCGGCGCGUCCAACGCCGGCGUACGGCCGCCACGUGGCCGGCGCCGGGUGGAGCGAGGCGGGCGCCGCGCGCGCGGGAGAGAGGGGAGGGGGAGCGGGCCGCGCUGUCCAGCUGGGCCAGAAGGGAGGCGGGUCGGCCCAGCAGCGCCUGCCCCCUUUCCCUUUUUUUUGAAUUUCUUUUCUCAAAUUCUUUCUAAAUUCAUUUGGACCAAUUUAAAAUCAUUUUCACCUCUUGCUCCCAAAAACAAAGUUGUUCCAAAUUAAAAACUCUACAACUUUGCUUUGACAAGCAAGACCAAAUUCCAAACAAAAUCUGAAUUACAAGUUAAAACUCAGUUCUAGGUUUUAAAUAAAUUCAUUUUGGGAAAAUUUGUAUAAAUUCCAUUUCUCAAAUUCCAUAGCUCCAAAAAUUGCACAAAAAUAUUCUAAAUUCUUCUUACACAUAAAGCAACCUAAUUUGAACAUUUCACAAUUUUAGAAGCAAGCAUCAUAUUUUUAACAUAUUUAAAACACAUGAAAUGAUGCACAUAAAAUCAUACUUGAAAAGAAUGACAUGCUCAUGAUGCUUAUGAUUGAUGAGGAUGCUUAUGCAUUGCUUUGCCAAGGCUAAGUGCAUGCUUAACACCUAGGUGUUACAAGGACUAUAUAAGGAGACCCCCUCUGGCUCCUGGAGGAGACAAGAAAUUAUCAUAGAGAUUGACGGGUGCCCUCGAAGGAAAACCUCUUCUCUAAAUAAUAUUUCUUUUUAGGCUUAGCAACCAAUGUAAAGUAGAAAUAGAUCUUCUAGUUUCUACUAGAUUGAGAGAGAUAGAGUGGAGGUGUGGAUCGGAGGAAGGCCGGCCUGUCGGUGUCUACUCUGAGUUGUACCUACGGGAUCAAGUCUCCUAACCCGAGGCUUGCUUCUAAGAUUCUUCAGUAAUUCGACUUCUAAUACUAGUAAGUUCUUGUUUUAUUGUUCUUUGGUUUAUGAGUUUACUUUAAUCCUCUUCCGGUUGAGUAUUAGAGUAAUCACUUGUUAGCGUAAAUGUGGUGUUUAGGCUAGGGUACUCAUAGAUAUCCCCUGACUAGCUGGACCGUGCUAGUAGCGAGGAACGUGACAAUUCCGAGUUACCUUUGCAGAUCACAUCUCGUUAGCAGGACGGGUAGGGUUAUAGGUGCGGGUCGAACAUCCUUUGUGUUGUCUAGAUUCUGUGAGCCUCCCCAAUAGAACAGUAGAUCAUCCUUACCAAGGUUAGAACGAGACUAUGGUUGCAGUCUUCUCUAUACAUCACUCACAUCGAGAGACAUUCUUGUAGCCUAAAGGGGUAGUAGCAAUAGAUUUGGUUAGUCAGAUGCACCCUUUCUCCCAGUGGUAAAAAUAUAAAUACGAUAACUCUGGAAAACCUCCCGGGUGAAAUGCUCACCGAUAUCCGUGCGCUUGCGGAUCAUUUUCUAAUUGCAUUACCAAAUAUCAACAAGCAUUUCUGGCGCCAUUGCCGGGGAGAAAGACGGUUUGCUGAGAUAACUUUAAGUCUUGCUAUUAUCUUGUAUUAUACUUUUAUACUUUUAUUCUUUUAUCUUUUUAUUUUUAUCUUUAUGGAUAACUCAAAUUCCAUACCUAUUAUUAAAUUCUUUGCACCUUCGGAGACCAACCAUAGACCAUGGGAGUCAACACGUCCUGCCCCUAAUUAUGAUCUGUGUCCGGAGUUGAUUGCAAUAGGUCAAAAGCAACCCUUUUCUAUAGCUGAGGUCCUAUCUUUUAAUCAAGAAGAUAAUGCACUUUUAGCUACACCUAGGGAAUCUGUUAAUCUUUCUAUAACUUCUGGUUCAGACCUAGCCCUACAAGACCAUGUUUUUCCUAGAUAUUUUCACAUUGGUCUUAAUCAUAUAACCUUUGGUAGAGUCCUUCUUUCUUUAUCUAUUAGUAAAGGAAGGUAUGUCUUCAUUUGUGGACAUCCUUCUUGUACUAGUCUUCAUAGAAAAAUCUUAGAAAUAGAGAAGGAAUCAUCUCCCAGACGAGGAAAGGAAGUUUCAAUAACCGAUUUCCAAACAUUUCAAUCCCAUGAUUCAGCUAUCCAUCCCAUCCUUGAGCUUAAUAAUCUCUACUAUGCUAUUUCUCUUGAACCUCCCGAUAAUCCUAUGAAUCUAUCUAGACAUCCCAUGCAUAAGAAGGAGGAUCGAGAAGAGCAACAUCAAUGGCUAAAGGGCAUUAAAAAUCCAUGUGCUAUCACCAUUGAAUGGAUAGAUAAAACAAACUUGAGAGACAAUCCUAGAGGAAUUUUUAGCAUUCAUGAAGAAUCAUCCUUGGAGUUUGAGAAUGAGAGAAACAACAGUGAGCAUGGAAGUUAUUUCAUAAAUACCUUACCCAGUCCUUGCUCAUAUAAAACAUCUCUCCAAUCAAUUAGUCUCUCUAUCCUUAUCACAUUUGAGAUCUCCAACCCUCUCUUCUUUUCUAUUUAUAAAAACUUUAAAAGAGCGGUUGUCGAUGCAUAUGUCUAUAAUAAAUAUUGCAGAUCUCGUUGAGUUGAUUAAUGGUUUCCCAAGGACAAGCUUAGUGUCCUAAAACAAGCACUUAUCAGAUCGUAAUAUGAAAUUUGAAUUAUUUGCAACAUUGCCUUGUGUAUUGAGCAUAUAAAGAUAAUUGUAGAAAUAUUCCUUCGGGUAUUCUUGUCACUAACCUAUCCAGGAUUGGAGCAAGAGGAUCGGAUGGAUGACAAGCACAAGGUAUGUCUAACCAACCAUCACACAACAUUGAAUUAAAUUCAUCCAAACUUGAAUUUUGCAAAAUUCGAGCUUGGGGGAGUACUUUACAUAAAAACAUCCUUUGCCAUGUUGCUACAUUGGUUGUCCCUACCUUUGAGAGAUGCUCAAUUUGUUAAGUACUAAUUACACUACUUCACCUCCAUUUGAGUAGAUCGCUAUAAAUGCUCUCAUGCUACCUUUAUUUGCUUUAGUAUAUGUCUAGGUUUGGAGUAGUUUCAUUUAUCUCUUAAAUCAAGCAUGGUGCUUAGUUUAGGAAUGAUGAUCUUACUUCCAAAGGAUUUUUAAAUUAAGCAUGGUGCUUAGGUUAAAAUGCCCUCCUAAAUCAAAUUAGACAUGGUUUCUAGGUUGAUUUUUGAGCCGAUAGUAUGCUAUAGUAGAUAUGGGGUAUUUUGUUGGACUAACCCCUGUAGGAAAACUUUCAAUAUCAAGCUGGGAAGUCCUGAGAUACAAACUCAUUGGAGAUAAAGGAGACACAUGAAGUUUAACAAUUUGCACAAGAAGGACAUAGCUCAUCACAAAGAGAUGAUUCAUGGAGGGUGCCACAAACACGAUGCACAACCGCUAAGAAAGGAAAGCUUCCACAAGGUGAUACUAUUCCAUCACUCUUCAAGUAAGGUAACAUCUUAAGGUACUUGACUAUCACUUUUAUAAGCUUCUCCUUAGUCCUAGCAUUCACAUAAAAUAAAGAGACAAACAUGUAUGAAUUGUAGCUCCAAAUUAAUCAACCCAAUUAAUUCAACAUGUUUAGUCCUUUAAUCUUUGUUUUUAGUACUACCUUCGUGAUCCCACACUCCUAAUCGUAUAAGCUAAAGUAUUGCACAUUCAAUAUUUGGAAGAUAUAAACAAAACAUAAAUAUAGAUAGAUUAUCUUUCCAUUAGGUUGAGCCAUCUGAUCUAACAAAUGUUUUAAAUGCUACACUCAUGAUUCAUCAACUUUGUCUUGCUCACUACGCUUAAGGUUAGAGAAGAACAAAUACACUUUUGGUUCUGUUGGUGUUUUCCACCAACAGGGCCCAUGCACUUGAUCUCUACCUUGUCUAUAUGAGCAGGAACACUUCGAGCAUAAUAUGAAGGAGUUUUACAACUCCCAGAUUCCACCAAGUGAAGCACUAGGAUCUACGAGCACAAACACACUGGAGAUACUGGACGCUCAGGCAAUCACUGCCCUGAGAUGCUUGAGGACGUGAACUACAUCCACAACAAUAACAACUAUUACUACAACCGUCCUCAACAACAUCAAGGUUGGAAUCAACAGAGGCCUAAUUACUCAGAGAGCUGAUCUAGGACGCCCCGUCAUCCCAAUCUCCAUCGGCAUGGUGGACUUCCUAGAAGCACUCUGCGACUUUGGCUCCAGCGUCAACAUUAUGCCAAGGGUUGCAGAUCGGACACUCAGUUUCCCAAAGGAAAUAUUGAAGAACCUCUGCGUCCGAGUUGGUACCUUGUACGCUCUAGCAGACUUGUGAUAGAGACUGGUACUGAGGAGAGGACACCCAUCAUCUUAGGGAGGCCAUUCCUAAACACCAGAGCUGUCAUCUACGUUAAUGCUGCCAAGAUCAGUUUCUACAUCAAGGGGAAGAAGGAGAUUUUCCUUCAAGAACAAGACUAUACAAGCUUCAGAGCAAACCCGACAUAAACAAAGGAUUAGGACCAACAGGAGGAAUAGGAACAAGCAAAUAUGGACCGAGUCAGCUAAGAUGGUCACUGCAGCUCAAGGAGGUCAAGAUCGUCGACUCAAGUCAGCUUUCUUGAUCAAGAAGGACGACCCUGGUGUUCCAAGCAUUGAGUGCACAGUCAAUGGAUAUUCUUUUUAGAAAACACUCUAUGACACCGGAUCUGACGACAACAUAAUGGCCGCAGUCACUUAUCAGCUCCUGCAUGGAACCAUGCCCCUACAACCAAGAUACAUUCAGCUUCAAACAAUUUUCAGGUCAUUGACAUAGGAGAAGACAAGUAUGAUCCACCCACCAUCCUUAGAAGACCGUUCCUCAACACUAUCAAAGCCAUUAUCUAUAUUGGAACCGGAGAAGUCCACAUGCACUUCCCCUCUGAGAAGGUACGCCACUACUUUAAUAAUUCUAACUAUAUAGUUGAAGAUUCUAAGCAGGUCAGGACAAGAAGACAACGCAACCGCAACCAGAGGAGGCAAAUCAUCAAGGACGGAUGGGUAGACUACGAAGGAGAAGUGAUAAGGACUGCAGAUAUACAACUUGAACAGAACUGUCCUGAGGAGACCGUAACACCGAGUCAGGUAUGGAAAAUGAAGAUAACUAUAAAUGAAGAGGAGGCGCUGCCGGAAGUACCGACUACGCCACCCAACGAACCUCAGGACGAUUAAGAAAAUGGAGAGUCCCGUUCGGAGGACUUAAAAACACCGAACGCCUUGCCAAGAGGUAAACUUGGUAGUUAUCCUUUCCCUUUUAAUUAUUUCAAAUAGUUUACUUAGUUAAUCAUGUUCGUAUUAUCCUAGAAAGAAAAUAAAAAUGUGAAGAAAAAAAAACUGUAAGCCCCAUGUGAGUAGACGAGUGGCAUAAAACCCAUAAGUACAUUCAUUGUGGUGGCAUAAAAAUAAAAUAAAUAUUUUUCUGCUUUAUAAAAACAAAAAUAUAAAAUCAGGAAGUAAUAUUUAUUAAGGAGUCUCAACAUGAUAAAGGCUAGAUAUUUAUGCUAACACUUAAUCAGUUCCACAAGCUUUGUUGUCUAUUUGAGCUCCACAGAAUUUAAGAAUCAAGAAGACUAGCAGACGGAGGACAUUCUAAUCGUUGUCAAAAUACUGCUGACUUUCAAACACAUCUCUGCCACCUGCUAGCUACAUCAAGAGAAAUUACGUCAAAAUUCAGCUUGGGGGAGAGCACCCCCAUUUAUCUCGAUAAGUAUUUCUAUCUAUCUUUAUACUUACACUAUAUUAGAAUAUAAAUACACAUAACUAUGAAAAACCAAAUAAAGAUUUUAUGCUUAUAUAUAUUUUGCUUAGUGUGUUUAAUAAAUAAAUAAAGUGGCUAUGCUAAUCUGUAUCUAAGAAAACUUAAGCAUGGAUAUGAUGAAUAGUUGCUCUGCCUAAUUUGCAAAUUUGAAGUUCUCUCUCAAGUUUAGAUAUGACUGUUAUAAUUUAAGGCUUGCUCUAGACCUAAACUUGUGGGAUGAAAACUUGAUCUGAAGUCUAAGUUGUUAACGGAUACGAUAUGGGAAGGUUGAGCUGCUGUUUAUCUGUUCCUAGAGAUGCUAGAAUUCUAGAGAAUUUUAUCUUUGAAAAUCUUUAAAAUGUUACAUGAUGAGUUCCUGUAUGAUGAGAGUUUAAAUUCCUACCACAGCCAUAUAUACAUGCUUGCUAGACCUUGAGCCACACAUUUAUUAUUUACUGCUUAUGAGCAUUGAGUGUGGUCAAGCUGUGUAGACCCUUAGGAGCUUGUCAUGUGGUUAAAUCAAGAUUUCACUUGCACGUCCACUCAUAUAUGCUACUUCUACUCCGGAAGUACCAUCCACAUAUAUCCACUCAUUUCCAUCUCCAGAAUCACCUAAAAAUAUUCUACUCCUAAUCCGGGAGAGAAUAACCAAAAAUAUUUCUGUUUCCCCUUGUGAAAUAAAUGCUCAAGUUAUCUUGUUACUACCACUUGCUAUAUUAUCUCAAGAGAUGAAUGCUCUGAAAAAAAAGAGAGAAAAAGAAAAUAAAAGAUACGAGGAAAUAAAAAGGAGCAAGUGCUCGGAACCUCGAAAGAAAAGAAAAAGAAUAGCAUCUCAUUCUCCUCAUAAAGUUUCAAAAGCAAGGAAGGUAUGUAUCCUCUCAAAGAGCAAAGUAGAAAUAGACUUCCACCACCAUUGUUAUCACCAUCAUCACCAUACACCAUUCAUUCGCCACACAUGCACAUCUUGAUUUGGCUUAUUGAUUUGUUUCUUUGGAUCCAUGGUUUGACUAUGCAAUAAAUGUCUUGUAAGUAUGUAUACUUUAUCUCCCACCUAUGAGCUCCAGAUAUUAAAGCCUUAUUAGAGUAGGGUGAGAGAGAAGACAAUGUCACUAUGCUUCAUACCACAAAUACUAAAGCCUUAUUAGAGUAGGGUGAGAGAGAAGACAAUGUCACUAUGCUUCAUACCACAAAUACUACAUAUCUUGAGAGAAGGCAUAUACCAUCACUGCCUUGGUAAGGAUCCAAAAAUACCACAAAAGAGAGACCUGAGAGAAUCAUACAAUGAAUUUCUGAGUUUUAUUUGAAAAUCUGCAAAAACCCCAGAGCUAUAGCUGAUCAAGAAUAAGAGACAUGGCACUUGGCUAGACUGUUCUAUCUUUUAACCACUCAAGACAGAAGUGACGGUUACAAGUCCUAUGGUGUAGGUAAAGUAAGUAAGUUUUAAGUCUUAACAGUUUAUUCUAACUCAGAGAUGAGAUCUUGCUUAAAUGCGUGUGUACUUCUAAGAAAUGAAACCACUGCAGAAACUAUUGAGUUCAUCCUUGCUCAGGGACGAGCAAGAGGUAAGCUUGGGGGAGUUUGUUGACGGUCCUUAAGUAUCAAAUUUAAUUAUCAAAUAAACAAAGAAAAGGAUUCAAAUGAAAUCAACACCUAGACUUAGGGUUUUAUCUGACAGAAUUCCACGAGUUUUGGUGUUUGUCUAUUUCUGCAGGGGGUUAUCAGGAAAUAAGGAAGAAAGGCCCACAUGUCGGGAUUACAUAGAGAUAUCAACCCACCGCGCAAUUUUCUACCAUCUAGAAGACUCUAGAAGCCACGGGAAGGAAGCGGAGCCCGAAAGGGGCCAGGCCCAGGGCGCCCGCCCUGAGGACCUGGGCGCCCACCCACCUCUGGACCCCGUUCCGGACUCUCUUCGCACACGACGUUCCACCGACCUAUUGGAUCCAGAAUAACAUAGUACCACCUCGCCUAUCAACCCAAAAACGCAUAGAAGGGGAGGACUAUAUAAGGAGACCCCCUCUGGCUCCUGGAGGAGACAAGAAAUUAUCAU
RNAcentral lists this long non-coding RNA (26143 nucleotides) under Sorghum bicolor (sorghum). RNAcentral's name for it is "long non-coding RNA (SBIC_LNC017687)". The stretch from base 13714 to 13820 matches the Rfam family "Plant small nucleolar RNA R71". The record is from RNAcentral. Lineage: Eukaryota; Viridiplantae; Streptophyta; Magnoliopsida; Poales; Poaceae.